UGGUGUUGAUGCUAGUAGAUGUUCUUCAGUGUCUGGACAUUAAAAUCUUGGGCAUGCAGCACCAUAUGAGAGGUUUAAAAAAUAAAAUUAAAAAAGAGAAAAGAACCCAGAGUUGAUCUCUGCAGCAUGCCAUCACUGCUGGGGAUGAGGAAACGGUGAUUUCAGGACUGUUUUUUCUGUCUCUUCAGUGCCUCUUUCAGUGAUCUCAGGUUAAAACCAGGUACUUUGAGUACUCAUCUGAUCUUUGGUUCCUAUGAAUGUAUUUUCUAUGUGGAUAUUAAUAGUUGUUCAUCUGGUGUCCUUGCAGGAGGGACAAUCAGUGGAGCCUUCUUUCUGCCAUCUUGCUUUACUCUCACACCCAAGAAUCAGAAUUCAGAACUUUUAAUAAGAAAAGCUUUCAGAACUCAGGAAGGACAAGGAAGACAUUCUGGUUCUCCAUGCUUAACAUUGGACUCUUUCUUCAACUUAGACUAUGGAGGAUUCAUCACCAGACCAGGAAGCAACAGCCUGGGCUCCAGAGUUGGCCAGCAGUCCAUGCACAGACGAGGAGAGGUCCCAUGAACCUUCAGCGUGGUCUGGGAACCGAGCUC
Molecule: long non-coding RNA, 590 nt
Filed under: Homo sapiens (human)
Lineage: Eukaryota; Metazoa; Chordata; Mammalia; Primates; Hominidae
Description: HSALNT0400595
Source: RNAcentral